AUUGAACGCUGGCGGCAUGCCUUACACAUGCAAGUCGAACGGUAACGGGCCUUCGGGUGCCGACGAGUGGCGAACGGGUGCGUAAUACAUCGGAACGUGCCCGAUCGUGGGGGAUAACGAGGCGAAAGCUUUGCUAAUACCGCAUACGAUCUACGGAUGAAAGCAGGGGACCGCAAGGCCUUGCGCGGACGGAGCGGCCGAUGGCAGAUUAGGUAGUUGGUGGGAUAAAAGCUUACCAAGCCGACGAUCUGUAGCUGGUCUGAGAGGAUGAUCAGCCACACUGGGACUGAGACACGGCCCAGACUCCUAAGGGAGGCAGCAGUGGGGAAUGUUGGACAAUGGGCGCAAGCCUGAUCCAGCCAUGCCGCGUGCAGGAUGAAGGCCUUCGGGUUGUAAACUGCUUUUGUACGGAACGAAAAGCCUUCUUUUAAUACAGGGGGGUCAUGACGGUACCGUAAGAAUAAGCACCGGCUAACUACGUG
Molecule: ribosomal RNA, 482 nt
Filed under: uncultured bacterium
Lineage: Bacteria
Description: partial 16S ribosomal RNA
Rfam family: Bacterial small subunit ribosomal RNA
Source: RNAcentral